This 207-nucleotide ribosomal RNA is filed under the name uncultured bacterium. RNAcentral describes it as "partial 16S ribosomal RNA". It matches the Rfam family "Bacterial small subunit ribosomal RNA", at positions 568 to 774 of the family's 1533-position model. The record is from RNAcentral.
CAUGUAGGCGGAUUAAUAAGUUUGGAGUGAAAUCCUAUAGUUUAACUAUAGAACUGCUUUGAAAACUGUUAAUCUAGAAUGUGGGAGAGGUAGAUGGAAUUUCUGGUGUAGGGGUAAAAUCCGUAGAGAUCAGAAGGAAUACCGAUUGCGAAGGCGAUCUACUGGAACAUUAUUGACGCUGAGAUGCGAAAGCGUGGGGAGCAAACA